RNAcentral lists this ribosomal RNA (388 nucleotides) under uncultured Chrysophyceae. RNAcentral's name for it is "partial small subunit ribosomal RNA". It matches the Rfam family "Eukaryotic small subunit ribosomal RNA", at positions 30 to 432 of the family's 1831-position model. Lineage: Eukaryota; Chrysophyceae. The record is from RNAcentral.
GCUUGUCUCAAAGAUUAAGCCAUGCAUGUCUAAGUAUAAACAAAUCUAUACGUGAAACUGCGAAUGGCUCAUUAUAUCAGUUAUAGUUUAUUUGAUGGUCCUUACUACUUGGAUAACCGUAGUAAUUCUAGAGCUAAUACAUGACUCAAAGACCGACUUACGAAGGUCUGUGUUUAUUAGAUGGAAACCAAUGCGGGGCAACCCGGUAUAUGGUGAUUCAUAAUAACUUUCGGAUCGAUUUAUCGAUGCAUCAUUCAAGUUUCUGCCCUAUCAGCUUUGGAUGGUAGGGUAUUGGCCUACCAUGGCUUUAACGGGUAACGGAGAAUUAGGGUUCGAUUCCGGAGAGGGAGCCUGAGAAAUGGCUACCACAUCCAAGGAAGGCAGCAGG